AUGGAGCAUAAUUUAUAACAAAUUCUUUUAUCAAUAAUAAAAUCCUUUACUGUCCACUUACCUCGGUGAGAUCCAUAAAACAACAUACGAAAGCAAUAACAUUAUCAUCAUCAUGAAAUCAUAUGAACUGUAUAACAUAAUACUUACCACACCUUUGCAUUUCAAUCAUUACACAACAUAUUUUCCUCAUUCACUAACCUACUAGUAUCCAUGGGGAUCCAUAGGGGUCCCGCUACCCGUGAACCCUUAACAUUUAUAACCUCAUUCCAGAGCCGUCCCCAUACCCCGUCCGGUAUGGGCACCAAAAUCAUGAACCUCAAUACCCCGUCCGGUAUGAGGGUGAAACGGGCCGUCCCCAUACCCCGUCCGGUAUGGGCGCCAAAACACCGAAGGUCUUUAUACCCCGUCCGGUAUGAGAGACCACGUUCCCGGUAGGGUUCCCUACGGACCCGGUCCGUCUACCAUCUCCCAGGAUAUCUAGUCAGGUUGUCCACAUUAUCCAUUUAUCAAUUCACGUAACCUUUUAUUCUUUUUUCCUCAGUCACCAUCAUCAAAUCAUACACAAACAUGCAAACCAGUAGUUUAUGCCAAACAAGAAAACACACAACAUCGGGUUCUCAGUCAUUCAACUCAUAAUCAAUAAAACAGUGAUAUAUACACACGAAACUAUGAAAUGAAAACAUCAAACAUCAUACUGCAUGUAAAACUGCAAAUUAGAUCAAACAGUAACAGACCAACACUGUAUCAGACUCGGACUCCAUUGGCAACCUUAAUCAAUUAUACAUUUAUAAAGUCACACAGUACAGUUUAAUUAUUUAUUUAGCUUUAAUACCGUGAUAGGAAAUAGGGUGAGGGGUCCUUACUUGUUUCGGGGUCUGAAUACGGCUCUACAGUGCGCCUACAGGCUGUCCCUAAUUUUCUCUAAAUUUUUUCCGAGGAGUUGAAACGCACUAGUAGUACAUGCACGUGUCCCAAAAAAUCCAAAAUUAGACCUAGGGCCCCUUUCGGCCAAUAU
This 1015-nucleotide long non-coding RNA is filed under the name Carica papaya (papaya). Its description in RNAcentral is "long non-coding RNA (CPAP_LNC011357)". Lineage: Eukaryota; Viridiplantae; Streptophyta; Magnoliopsida; Brassicales; Caricaceae. The record is from RNAcentral.